RNAcentral lists this ribosomal RNA (441 nucleotides) under uncultured bacterium. RNAcentral describes it as "bacterial SSU rRNA". It matches the Rfam family "Bacterial small subunit ribosomal RNA", at positions 338 to 795 of the family's 1533-position model. The record is from RNAcentral.
CCUACGGGGGGCAGCAGUGGGGAAUAUUGCGCAAUGGGCGAAAGCCUGACGCAGCAACGCCGCGUGCGGGAUGAAGGCCUUCGGGUUGUAAACCGCUUUCGGCAGGGACGAAAUUGACGGUACCUGCAGAAGAAGCCCCGGCCAACUACGUGCCAGCAGCCGCGGUAACACGUAGGGGGCGAGCGUUGUCCGGAUUUAUUGGGCGUAAAGAGCUCGUAGGCGGCUCAGUAAGUCAGCUGUUAAAGCUCCAGGCUCAACCUGGAGAGGCCAGUUGAUACUGCUGUGGCUAGAGUCCGGUAGGGGAGUGCGGAAUUCCUGGUGUAGCGGUGGAAUGCGCAGAUAUCAGGAGGAACACCGAUGGCGAAGGCAGCACUCUGGGCCGGUACUGACGCUGAGGAGCGAAAGCGUGGGUAGCAAACAGGAUUAGAUACCCCUGUAGUC